Molecule: long non-coding RNA, 1338 nt
Organism: Ailuropoda melanoleuca (giant panda)
Lineage: Eukaryota; Metazoa; Chordata; Mammalia; Carnivora; Ursidae
Exons: 6
Source: RefSeq, a predicted model, not a curated record
CGGCUGCGUGGUCGAGCCUCGCGCUGGGCGGAGACUGAAGUUGUUUCUGUCUGGCCGAGUCGCGUAUUUUGCGGCUGUAACUUUACCUCGUUCGAGCCCACUCUACAAACGUGUCUGAGCCGUUGCACCCCCCGGACUUCUCCUAGCACCACAACCAAGCUGCACCCCUGCAGAUUUCCACACACAGUUUUCAGACAGUCUCCCUAUGCCGGGCAGUGUUCAAGGACCUAUGAAAACAGUGGUGGACAAGGAAGAUGUAACUGGUGCCCCUGUGGAGUUUACAACCUAGAGGAGCCCACAGUAGUAAAUGGUAUCGAUUGGAAGGCGUGACCAGAGUUGUUGCUGACAGCGACAAGCUGUCUCUGCCAGACAAGGACCGGGAACCUUCGAAUGAUUUUGAAAUUAGAGGAGACCACGGCACCCAAGAGGGUCUUUGCAGAUAUCAAGUUUAAGAGAGGUCAUUAUGGGAUCAUCGUCCACAUGACUGGUGUCCUUACAAAAGGGGGAAAUUUGGAAAUAGACGCACAGAGAGGAUGCCACAUGAAGACGAAGGCAGAGAUCAGGGCGAUGCUUGUUCAAGCCAAAGAUGGCCAGCAAACCCCGGAAGUGAGGGCAGAACAUGGACCAGAAGGCGCUCAGAAGGAACCAGUCCUACAGACACCUUGAUGUCAGACCACUAGCUUCCAGAACUGAGAGAAUGCAUUUCUGUUGUUGAAGCCACCCAGUCUGUGGUCAAGACUCCCAGGCAUGAAGAGUUAUAGGAUGCAGUGACAUCACGGGCGUGCUGACCAGAUGCACUGAGGACCCAGAAUCACAUCCGCGGGGUUGCUACCUGAACAGCCAAGACUGAAUCUACACCUAAGGACACAUCAGGCAAACCCUGAGGGGUGUUCUGCAAAAUGACAGGACGGUACCCCUCCAACAUGUCAAGGUCAUGAAAGAAAAAGAGAGGCAGAUAUUUUAGAUGAAAGGAGGAUAAAAAGCCAUGGCGGCUAGGUGUAAUCGUGUGGCCCUGGAGCAGAUCCUGGAGCAGAAGGAAAAAUUGCAAUCAAGCAUGUGAGUGAGACUAUUGGUGUAGACUAGAUAAGAGGACUGCAUCAACGUGAAACUUCCUGACUGUGUUGAUUGUACUAUGGCUGUGUAAAUUAAUAUCCUUGUUUUCCGGAAAUACAUAAUGAAGUAUUUGGCAAUAAAGGGACAACCUACUCUCAAAUGAUUAAUAUAGUUAUAUAUAUAGAGAGAGGGAGAGAAAUGUGACAACAUGCAGGUUGGAAUAAAAGGUAUGUGUGAGUUCUUUGUAUCAUUCUUGUGAAUUUUCUUUAACUUUGAAAUUAAUUC